CUCCCUGCAUGUUGUUGUUUUUUUUUAAAUCCCUGUUUUCCUUGGGAUUGUUCCACUCUUUUUAAAAGGCCUAUAUCAGAUCCAGUAUUAUGUAACAGUCAAUAUUCGCACAACAAACACACACAGAGUGUGUUGGGGAAGCGGCUCAUUAGACGAGUCACUUUCUACAGAACAACAUUCUAACUACCACGCUAGAAAUGGAAACGCUGCCUCCACAGCCGCGAAAGAGAGAGGAGCAGUCUAAACCAAAAGGAGGUGGGGAAAGACGAGGAGGAACACAAAGAGUGUGUGAAGUGAACACUCCCAGGCAGCCUUGGACGCAUACAAACUAAAGUGAGGCUCACCAGUCAAAUUGCACAGCAGAUAACUACCGUGUGUGUGUGACAUCAACAAAAACCACUAAAGAAGAGAACAAGCCUGAGGAGCAGAAGAAGAAGCUUUGGAAGAUAACAACGUUCGAGGGAAGGAAAGAUUCAAAAGCAGCGUGGAGGAGAACUACAGAGGAGCAGGGAAUGAGAUUUGUUUGAGUGUCAUCUCACUUUUCUUUCGACUCCUCAUGCAGACCGUCAUCUAUAUCUGAGACAUUAUCCCUCCUAACCCUAAUCUCAACCUGUCUGCUAAUCUCAGGCAGCGUCUGAAGACUCCUCUGGAUGAUUGAGUGCUCUCAGGCGCUCCGCAGGCAAAACUCCUGCCUCGCUCAUCGCUGUCUCCUCCUCAUCAACUGGUCUGCUCACUUCUGUUUUGUUAUUUCUGACACUUAAGUCUGGGCUCGGCUGAGUGAGUGGAAACAACAAGGGCUCUCGCAGGAUGGAUGCCGGAGAACAGACGCUGACCCUUCUGAACAGGGUAUGGGUAAAGUUGCAGAAUCUGCCCAGCGCCAACAGUAUAGAUCUGGGUGCUUUCUUCGUCCUGCUAACCUUCAUCUUGGUGGUGGUGAUCAUGUCAGUGGUGACCUGCUUUAGCUGCUGCUGCUGCUGCCGCUGCUGCAAGGCCAAGAUGAAGGGACCGAAUAUCUGAACCAAUGUGCUCCACACGAAGAGAAGUAUUCACAUGUGCAAUUACUGGACUUACUGAACUCCCACAUCAGGCAUCUAAGCACAGGACAAAAGAGUUGCAAGAGUUUUUCUGCAGCUCUGGACUCCGGCUGCGACUCAUGCCCAUGUAAUUCAUAGGUAGACAUUCAAGAUGGGUGUGUUCGGUGGCACCAAGGAGGCCAAACCCUUGAACAAUAAACUGAAUUGUCAAGCACAGAGAGGGGUGUCCUGACUGGCUGCCAGGCACACCUGCUAAAGCUGCAUGGUUUUCAGGAGAAUCCACAUUCCUCGGAGCAUCCCUGCUCUCUACAGGGUCACAACAACUCCCCUGAUGUGGGGAAAAGGCCGGGCCACACCCAAAAUGCAACUUUAAAUUAUACAGGGAAAAUACAUGGAAUUUGAGCUGGGAAAAUUUGUAGAAUCAUUAAAAAUAAUAAAAUAAAUAGGAACUAUCAACAAUAAAAGUAAGAUGUGAUGGGGGAAUGUAAAUUGCUUUGUUAAUGAGUCAUUGUUGAGGAGUUGGAUAAGAUUCUCCUGAGGGGGAAGCUGUUUCCGAACUGGGACGUGAAGAGAGAUCAAGUCUGCCCUCUGCUGUACGCAAACUGAACAUGUGUGUGAUGAAACUUAUAUUAUGCAUGAUUUACUUAAGCAAAGGGAAAAUGGAUUGUGUAAUGAAGUGAGGCUUUGACUCAACACUUAUUGUACUGCCUACUGUAAAUAAUAAACAAAAAGUGAGAGUGA
Hippoglossus stenolepis (Pacific halibut) is the source of this 1775-nucleotide long non-coding RNA. RefSeq lists it as uncharacterized. The transcript has 3 exons. Lineage: Eukaryota; Metazoa; Chordata; Actinopteri; Pleuronectiformes; Pleuronectidae. The record is from RefSeq and is a predicted model, not a curated record.